UACGUAGGGAGCAAGCGUUGUCCGGAAUCAUUGGGCGUAAAGCGCGCGUAGGCGGCCCUGUAAGUCCGUUGUGAAAGUCAAAGGCUCAACCUUUGAAAGCCGAUGGAUACUGCAGGGCUAGAGUCCGGAAGAGGCGAGUGGAAUUCCUGGUGUAGCGGUGGAAUGCGCAGAUAUCAGGAGGAACACCGAUGGCGAAGGCAGCUCGCUGGGACGGUACUGACGCUGAGGCGCGAAAGCGUGGGGAGCAAACAGG
Molecule: ribosomal RNA, 253 nt
Filed under: uncultured bacterium
Lineage: Bacteria
Description: partial 16S ribosomal RNA
Rfam family: Bacterial small subunit ribosomal RNA
Source: RNAcentral